This 828-nucleotide ribosomal RNA is filed under the name uncultured bacterium. RNAcentral describes it as "bacterial SSU rRNA". It matches the Rfam family "Bacterial small subunit ribosomal RNA", at positions 95 to 919 of the family's 1533-position model. The record is from RNAcentral.
GCGGCGGACGGGUGAGUAAUGCCUAGGAAUCUGCCCGAUAGUGGGGGACAACGUUUCGAAAGGAACGCUAAUACCGCAUACGUCCUACGGGAGAAAGCAGGGGACCUUCGGGCCUUGCGCUAUCGGAUGAGCCUAGGUCGGAUUAGCUAGUUGGUGGGGUAAAGGCUCACCAAGGCGACGAUCCGUAACUGGUCUGAGAGGAUGAUCAGUCACACUGGAACUGAGACACGGUCCAGACACCUACGGGAGGCAGCAGUGGGGAAUAUUGGACAAUGGGCGAAAGCCUGAUCCAGCCAUGCCGCGUGUGUGAAGAAGGUCUUCGGAUUGUAAAGCACUUUAAGCUGGGAGGAAGGGCAGUAAGCUAAUACCUUGCUGUUUUGACGUUACCAGCAGAAUAAGCACCGGCUAACUUCGUGCCAGCAGCCGCGGUAAUACGAAGGGUGCAAGCGUUAAUCGGAAUUACUGGGCGUAAAGCGCGCGUAGGUGAUUCAGCAAGUUGGAUGUGAAAGCCCCGGGCUCAACCUGGGAACUGCAUCCAAAACUACUGGGCUAGAGUAUGGUAGAGGGUGGUGGAAUUUCCUGUGUAGCGGUGAAAUGCGUAGAUAUAGGAAGGAACACCAGUGGCGAAGGCGACCACCUGGACUAAUACUGACACUGAGGUGCGAAAGCGUGGGGAGCAAACAGGAUUAGAUACCCUGGUAGUCCACGCCGUAAACGAUGUCAACUAGUUGUUGGGUUCCUUGAGGACUUAGUAACGAAGCUAACGCGAUAAGUUGACCGCCUGGGGAGUACGGCCGCAAGGUUAAAACUCAAAUGAAUUGACGGGGG